This 25446-nucleotide long non-coding RNA is filed under the name Capsicum annuum. Its description in RNAcentral is "long non-coding RNA (CANN_LNC000665)". The record is from RNAcentral. Lineage: Eukaryota; Viridiplantae; Streptophyta; Magnoliopsida; Solanales; Solanaceae.
UAAUCUUGAUUCUCUCAAAAUCAGCGGCCUCCUUCUCCUCCCCCUUCUCUCUCUAAACCAAGACUUCUCACUGUUCUGCCGCUGCCGGAGUUAACCACCAUUCGGCCAGCCUUCCCAAGACUACCAGCACUGCUGUCGACUCCCUCUAUCCCUCUGUCGUCCCUCUCCAACCAUAGCCGCCACUGCAAGCAACCAUGCAGUCGACGAGCCAACCAACGAAGCCCCCGCCACCCUCUCCUCUCUUUAUAUGUCGCCGACUACCUUUUGGGUGACAAAACUCGACUAUCACCACCACUGAUGAACCAGUGGGGCACCAAACCAGCCUCCGUUUCAUCACUGGCAGCUAUCAACUGCAACCAGUGCUGCCAGCAGCAGUUCCAACCUGCUCCAAAACCCUCAAACGCCGCCAAAACCCUAAUAAAAAAUGCAACCAGUCGCAGCCUUACUAGCCGGACAGUUGUUAAAUGCAUGAAGGAUUCACACAUGUGAAUCCAUCCAAGGUUGGGUUUCUAAUUUUAAUUGCAUGUUAUAAUCUUCUUCCUUUUCCCUUUCAAUAUUUUCUUUAGAUUUGAAAUUGUCGAAAGCUUGAUGGUGAAUUUUUAGUGGAUUCCUGUGAAUUCAUGUAUGUUUAUGUGAUUAGACCGACAUAUACAAAAACUCUUAAGAUUUCUAUAGGUUUGCUGUUCAAUACCACAUUAGGCUUGAUUUGACAAUCGAUUCUUUCUAACGAUUGAUUCUUCUUGUUUUGCUCUUAAUUAUGGCACGAUUUAUAUAUCUGCUUGGUUUGAUUUUCUUACUAAUUUCUUAUACCUUUUAAUCAUGGAAUGAUUUAUAUAUUUUAAUUGGGUUGAUUUUAUGUCUGAUUUUUGCACCCCUUAAUUAUAGAGUGAUUUGUAUGGUUUAUUGGUUUGAUUUUAAGGCUGAUUUCUACACCCCUUAAUUAUGGUAUGGUUUAUCUAUUUCGAUCACAUGACUGAUUUUUACACCCUCAAUUAUGGUAUAGUUUACAUGCUUAAUUUGAAUAAUGUAUUUUUUUUUUUGAAAACUUUCCACGAAAAUUCGUAGCCACUACAACCUCUGCCAUAGCUUCUGCCCUUCGGGUGACCACUGUGUGCGCACUGGGUAAACCCCCGAUGCAAUAGUCUGCAAACCACAUGGGGAUGCAAACCGCACUAGGUAAGCCCUGUGCGACAGGCUCAAACCCAGAAGGCAUUGACGGGAGAAUCGAUCCCUUGACGGGGGAAUCUAUCCCUGGUCACCCGGGUUACCCAACCGCCCUCCAAACUAACUAGGCUGUCCCGAAGGACUGAAUAAUGUAUUUUUAAUUUCUCCUUUUAUGGUAAAAUUGACAGCUGAUAUGGAAGAAUUUCACUAACAAAAUACUUGUUCUCUUUUUGGUUCCUCCUUAUUGAUUACUUGAAUAUGUGAGCAGAUUUUUUUUCCAUAUUAUGAAACAAUUGUGUUUAUAACUUAACGGAUAGUAUUAUUUCUUUUCUUUUCCUUUUUACUCACACGAUCAACCCCCAGCCUAUAUAAAUAGCCUAUUCUUCAAUUGGCAGGCAAACCUCUCCUCAAUUACGACUACUCUCUCUCUCAAAUUCAAAAGUUACUUGCUCUCUAAUACGAAAAAUAAAGUAUUCCUCUCAAGGCUCUUUGAUUUCUCUGAUUCUGACAAGGCGUUCAACUUGCUUCACUUUUGCAAUUACUCCGCUUACGUCUUCUUUAUUAUUAUUUUUGAUACCUACUGGUGAGUCCUGAAUCGAUGCAAUUUUUAUUUUUAUGUGAUAACCUUGCUGCAUGGUAGAAACCUUUAGAAAACAUGCCUAUAGGAUAUGAUUCGAAAUGAUUCUUUCAUGCUUGUUUGCUACUUUCCUGCCUUGCUACUUCCCUGUUUUGAGUAUGUUGGUAUGUAGUUUUCUUUGCAUGUGCUAUGGUAUUUUAUUAACAAGUGCCCUUUAAAAUGAUAUUUCGGAAGGGGAAGAGUCGCCCGGGAGUUUGGGAAGGGUGUUACAUUUAUUGUUUAGCCUCGUUUGUUUGUCUGUAAUUUAUUGUACAAACAUUAUUCUUGUAGUAAUAAAUUUGGGACUGCUGGUGGGGGGCAGGGGUUUGUGUGCUCUAUGAACCACGUAGGCAAACAUACUUUACAUGCUGCAGGAAUCAGUUAGGCAAACAUGAUUUAGGCGGAUUUAUCAAUUUUGACACUUAGAAAACAUGCUUUUAGGAUCAUUAAUUAACAUCUGGUUCAGGAUUAAACUUAUGUGUUUAAUUGCAGGUAUUGUAGGUGAUUUUAACGAUCGCAUGUCUAUUUUCAUUAAUUAAAAGGGGAAUCAUCAGUUGCUAUCAUAUAAAAAAUGAAUUUUGAUUAAUUAAGCUCUAUUCUGCAGUCUUUUAAACUCAUGUCCAGCAACUAAAUUUAUUCUUUACAAACAACUUUCAACAAAGGAAAAUCAGUUUUCAAUACUUUAAUUUUCAGCAAAUAACAAUAAAAGUUAAUGUUUGGCCUUCAAGGUAAAUUUUCAACAAAACUAGAGAUCGAUUUAGCACUAAAUUAUUAAUUUUUCGCUCGUUAACUGUCGGCACCUAAAACAAAUUUUCUCAUGUCAUAAACUGUUCCCUUUUGGCAUCUUCUCAAAUGAAUUUUUAGUUAACUCUGCUAAGACAUAAAGGAUCUUAAACACAUCUUGACAUGUCAGUUGUUUAAUUUUCUUUAUUAUCAUUCAUAGGCAUAUCUUCACUUAGUACCAUGUCUAUAGGGUGUACAUUUAAAAUCUGUAACUGUUUGUCUUAAUAUGUCAAUCACCUUAACCAACUUAUAAUUAAUCAAGAGGCUAACUUAGUACCAUUAUGUGCUACGUGGAGUCCUAUUUGUUUCGCGCUUUAAGUCCUACUAGGAAACAUAGCUUUGUUUGUCUAAACCAUAAAUCCAAAUUAGCAAAGCACAAUGCCUCUUGGGAGUAAGUGGGACAAUAGGCAUUCUAGAGACAUUAGUUUUAUCCUUUCUUUUAGAACGCUCUUAGGUUUGACAACCAACCUAUAUGGGGGAUGGGUAGGCAUUCAAAAGUGAUGAUAUCUAACAUAUAUUUCGCGAUGCAUGACAUUGUCACUUGUCUAAGAAUCCAGCUGCCGGCUAAUGGAUCGGCUAAUGCCGGAUAAUGAUCAAAGUAUGAAUUUGAUCGAGAACCACCUUUGUGGUCCUCGAAAGAUGCCUAACACCUUUCUUUCGAGGUAAUUUCAACCCUUACCCAAAUUUUUGGUCAAAUAAGACUAAAUAACAAAAUAGGUUCGUAGUUAGCCUAGAUCGGUGUCCUAACGCACAUUAAUACAUUAGGUAGUGACUCUUCACAUUCCUUUAAACAAUCCCAAAAAGAGUAGUCAUGUUGAAUCCCACUUUUCGCAAGAAAAAAUUGGGAACGAUAGCACAAUGAUACAAGACUAAGUGUGUAUCAAUAGAUUCAAGCCAACACAAGAGCAACAAGAUGAACAACAAGGUGCUAGUGAAUCAAAAUAGGCCAUUCACGGCUUCACUAGACUUUAGAUUUAGUUUUGAGCAAGAAAAGAGAUGAACACAAGAACAACAAUGCUAGUGAAUCGAAAGAGCUCCACACAGCUUCACUAGACUUUAAAGACCAACAACAAUACAAUGUUAACAAAAGAGAUGGAUAGAUAGUUUGACAUACAAUAUUCAAGAAUCUAAGAACCCUAACCACAUGUAAGGACCCUAAGAUUAAUGAAUGUUAACACCAAACUCUUACAUUGACAAAAGAGGGACUUUACCUCCCUAAUCACCAACGUAUCAAGCCAACGAUGCAACAUAAGUGAUAUCCACACUUGGGCAUCCCUAGUUACGGAUUGGUGGCUUUUCCAAGCCCUACAACUAAGGGGUGUUACACUCCUCACACUAGAGAGAGAGAGUUUGUCUUCCAUCAAUAAACAACUAAAGAGAAAAGACCUAAUAAGGAACUAUAUAUAGCCUAGCUUAUUGCAUGGCAAAAUGACCAAGACACCCUUAAUGACAAAGGGUGGCCUUGGUGUGUUGGAAGACAAGAUGAAAUGGCCAAAACACCCUUAAUGAGGUGUGGCCUUGGUGUUUAAAUGACUUCUCACAUUGAAUCCUAACACUCCAAAAGUGCCUUCUUCAAGCUAUAAAAAUCGUGAGUCAUCAAGUCCUUAGUGCUCUAAGCAACCUUUCACACUCGGUAUUGUUCCAUCAAGUGCCCAUCACAGUCUCUACAUGCAUGCUCUCGUGUCCUCGAGGCGACUAAUAAUUGAGCCUUUAUGUGUUGGUUUCCAAGGACGUCAUCAAAAAUUAUAAGUACCGUUUGGCUCGUAUCAUCCUUUCCUUCUUGAAAAGGAUUCAACCUCGCAUCCAAACCUUGAAAGCACAAAGAGAAGACAACCAAGCACCACAUCCUCAUGAAAUGUGGGUUAAAAGAGUUAGCACAGUAAACAACAUCAACAUGCCAAGUAGGUACACACUUAAGGUAUAACCACACAUCCUUUAUUGUAAUCACAGGGAACUUAGCAAAAAUAUUACAAAGAAGUGGACGAAAGGAAUCAUCAUCAAAGGGUGGUGCUCUAAUUUUGAAAGUAAAGUCCACACAACACAUAUAGAAAUGUCACUCAAACAACUGGAUCUACCAACAACUAUCUGUCCUUCACACCCUAAGAAGUUACCGGGGUAGAAUGGGAGACGUAACCAAUGGCUUAGGCCUUGGCCACUCUCACUUUCUCCUAGGAUGUCAUCCUCAAAAUUAAGCAAGCCCUCUUUAUCAUCAUUAGAAAUAUUAUGAACAAAAAGAGGGUUUAGAAAGGUGUUCCAUAAGUCAACUUCAAAUAAAUGGUUCUCAUGCAUGCACUUACUACUAGUUUCAAAAUCUCCAUUAGAAAUAUGUCCAACAUAAGAAACACAUAAAGAAGAAGUAGAUGGCAUUUCUAAGCAUAUAUCACCUUCUCUUUCACAAGAGUAGUCCUCACAUACAUACAAAUCAUCACGGGCAGCCAAAGGACCACAAUCAAAAUCGUCUUUACAAGGACAAUCACUACUCGGGUUUUCUAAACAUUCAAGCAAAUCAAGAUCAUCUAUGCCCGGUUGAUCAUUUUGCUCACCCUCACUAGUUAUUGGCAAUUCACAUACCAACGUAGACUCACCUUGUUUUUCACAAAGGUCAACUAGUGUAUGAAUACUCUCGUCACUUGGUAAUUGAACCUUAGUCAAGUUUUAAGUGCUAACACUAAAUGGACACAAAUCAUUCUCACGAGGAGAAUCAGUUUCAUCAUCUAAAGGAUCAACUAGUGCUAGAUACCUACAAUAAGAGUUUGGUCCUUAUGCGACCUAACAAUAUCACGAGUAUCACAAAAUGAAGACUCAUGCACUUCUACAGUAGGUAAAACCACUACUACGUUCAUAGGAGUGUAGGGGAUAACAUUUUUGUCUCGUAGCUCACAUGAGCUAUGGUCUUCAUCUUGACGUGUGUCCAGGCAGCCCACUUUCUCCCUUGGAACUCCCAUAUGAUCCAACCUUUCAUUUAUCACUUCCCAUUGAUCACUUCCCAUUGACGGGUAAUGGAUUCAAGUUUAGCCAAAAUAGCACUUGCAGCCGCGAAUUCCAUUAUAAUUGCACCUAAAAAAAGGAAAAAAAAAAAGAACAAGCCUACAAAGCAAAGCACAAGUUAGUUCGAAACAACCUCAUUACACUCUCACACACUUGAUCAUCUCACACUUGGAUUCACAAGUGUUGCAAGUUGGCUUGUAGUUCGUGAUGAAUCGAGGGGUGAGUCUACUCCUUGGUCAGACGGAUUCUUUAUUUGAAGACUCAAGAAAAUGAUGUUCGAACUUGAACCAAAAAGUAAUACGAUUUAUGAAAAUGACAAAAGUACAAAAGAAACUUAGACACAAAUAAUGGAUGCAAAAGACUAAUAGACAAUCUAGUAGGAGUUUACUAGUUUGUUAAUUAGUUCUAGGAUCAACUAAUGAAACCAAGAAUCAAUAACUAGAAACUAGGAAAAUCCAAAUUUGAGCUUAAUAUUGAUGGUGAACAGUAAUUAGGGUGAUGUGGCAGCAUGCAAUUGGUAUCGGUCCCACACAAUCUUUGUCAUAAAUUUGAAAUUUAAUCUUCACACAAUUUGGAAUGGAAGACAAUUGGUAAUGGAGGAAAAAUACAAAUCUUGACCCUUUUUCAAAUUCAAUCUCAAAAUGGUGAGACUUGACUUGUACUAGUUCCACAAAACAAGGCCCUUGAUUUAAGGAAAAGUGGGUGGUAAGUAGAUGUCAAGUCUAGGAGGUGAUGGGCUCAAGUCUUCUCACAAACAAACUUUACAUCUUUGUCUUACACCUUUUUGGAUCUAGUUUACACUUUUUUAGUGAUCAAGAUAUGGGAUGAGGUGAAGAACAAAAUGAACAACAAUAAUUUUUUUCAAGAACACAUCAACAACAUCCUCCAAUCUUCAACAACAUGGCACAACCACGGCCAACCUUGAACCACAACACACGGCCACUUCAAGUUCACAACAAGGUCAAUAUUAUAAGUUCAACUUUAGAUCUAGACACUUUUGUAUUAGACACUUUUGUAUUAGUGAGAAAGAAACCAACACAACAAACACACUAGAAAUUUUUUUUUUUACUAGAUCUAGUCAUAAACUCUUGGCCAAAACAACAACAACAAUGAGCAACAAGUUCUCGGCCAAGAACACUAAACACAAGAACACUUCAUUUUCACUUCUUUCCCCUUUUUUUUUUUUGAUUUUCCAACUUUCAAGCCCAAGAUUGAUCUUGUUAGAACAAAAUCAAAGAUGGCUUUGAUACCAAAUGAUACUAAGUGUGUAUCAAGAGAUUCAAGCCAACACAAGAGCAACAAGAUGAACAACAAGGUACUAGUGAAUCGAAAUAGACCACUCAUGGCUUCACUAGACUUUAGAUUUAGUUUUGAGCAAGAAAAGAGAUGAACACAAGAACAACAAUGUUAGUGAAUUGAAAGAGCCCCAUACGGCUUCACUAAACUUCAAAGACCAACAACAAUACAAUGUUAACAAAAGAGAUGGAUAGAUAGUUUGACAUAUAAUAUUCAAGAAUCUAAGAACCCUAACAACAUGUAAGGACCCUAAGAUUAAUGAAUGUUAACACCAAACUCUUACGUUGACAAAAGAGGGACUUUACCUCCCUAAUCGCCAGCGUAUCAAGACAACGAUGCAACAUAAGUGAUAUCUAUAUUUGGGCAGCCCUAGUUACGGAUUGAUGGAUUUUCCAAGCCCUACAACUAAGGGGUGUUACACUCCACACACUAGAGAGAGAGUUUGUCUUCCAUCAAUAAACAACUAACGAAAAAAGACCUGAUAAGGAACUAUAUAUAGCCUAGCUUAUUACAUGGGAAAAUGACCAAGACACCCUUAAUGACAAAGGGUGUCCUUGGUGUGUUAGAAUACAAGAUGAAAUGGACAAAACACCCUUAAUGAGGUGUGGCCUUGGUGUGUAAAGGACUUCUCACAUUGAGUCCUAACACUCCAAAGGUGCCUUUUUCAAGCUCCAAAAACUGUGAGUCCUCAAGUCCUUAGUGCUUCAAACAACCUUCCACACCCGACAUUGCUCCAUCAAGUGCCUAUCACGGUCUCUGCAUGCAUGCUCUCGUGUCCUCGAGGCGACUAAUAAUUGAGCCUUUAUGUGUUGGUCUCCAAGGACGUCAUCAAAAACUAAAAGUGCCGUUUGCCUCGUAGCACACAUCCUCUAGGAUCGUCGCACAAUACCUAUAUACACCUACAAAGGCAAGCCUCUCAACACAGGAUCCAAGGGGAGUUCGUCAAUCCGUAUACAAUCCACAUAUUGUAUAUCUCCUUCCCAGCACAUCCCUCGAGGAGGAUUUUAUAAGGUGUUAUAAUAUCUUCUCUCCAACAUUUUCCUCGGGGAGGAUUUUAUAAAAGGUGUUGCCAGUGUUUCUCAAAUGUUGCCACAAUGGUACCAAUGUUUCAUGAAUGAGUAUGAUAUGAGGAUGUAAUGCCCAUAAACAAUCACAAUGAGUAUUUCUACUACCAAUCACAAUGAUAUAUUUCCAUAACGAACCAUAAUUAUGCAUUUCCACAACUACGUGAGCCAAUAUUCACUCAUUAUUUUCAUUUCAUUCAUUAAUUUUCACAUGUCUCAUAUAACAACAGGUAUGAAUAUCUCACAAUACACCAAUGAUUCCACAUUAGGCACUUCAACAACACAAAACAAUCAUUCAUAUAUAUUCAAGAUUAUCAACAUCAUGUAGGACCCCACGCAGUCACACAUAUCACAUAAUAUCUCAAUUUCAACAAUUAAAUUACAUAUAGGCUCCUACACAGGCACAAUACAAAAAUAGUAAUUUUUCAUGAUUAGUUCUCACCCUUAACAUGCAUUUUGUAUCAUUAUUAACUACCCAACCUAGUCUGAAAGAGUUAAGCCAUAACCUACCUCGAAUGCCGAAAUCGGUCCACUACACUUCGAAGUCGCGAACUUACUUUCCACAAACGAUCCCAAAUUUCACUAAAAAUAUCAAAUAUGAAAUCUAUGUGUCAAAACAAAACCAAUGAUAUCCAUAUUGACUAAUUUUGGUUCGAGGUCAAAACAGACCCCUAAAAUGGAUUUUUAAAAAAGAAGGGCAAAAUAGAAACUUUACUCAAAAAACAUAUUUAUCAUAUUUUUAGGAACCUAUAUCUAAAAAACCAAGUCAAAUCGAUUAAAAAAUAGGUUCAAAUCAAAGAAAAAUCAUUUUUGAGCUUUACCGGGUUAAAAUCAAGAAUCAGUGUUGUUUUGGAGGUUAAUUUGAUUAAAAACUAGUAAUUAUAAGAUUAAAAUAUUAUUCAAGUGAAAAGAGGUGAAAUUGGGGUUUAAAAUUAAGCCCUAAGAUUUUUGAGGUUUUGAGAAAUUAAUCAAGAAAUUACUAAGAAAAGGGUGAAUUCUUAUCUUAAAUCCGUAAGAGAAUCAAGAAAUAGAUGUUAAUCUAUCUUCCCAAGAUCCCAAAAGCUUCACUUUUAAGCUCUCACACUAUUUUAGAGUUUAACUCUCAAGAGUCAAGGUGAAAGAAUGGGCAAAAUGGACCAAAAAGGGGUAGUAAAAAACUGCUAUUUAUCGCAGAAAAAUCUACACUCUAAGUCCAAACAGACUUCGACAGGGUGACCGGGAUUUAUUUAGAGUCUGUUAUAUGUAAAAGAGCUAUGCAAUCAUACUAAAUUCGACACUCUGGACUCAAUGUCGAUAUCAAAUUUUCAAAAAAAUAUCGUUUUCACAAAGUUGACAUCCAAAACUCGAAAUUAUAAUUUUUUAAAUCAAAGAUCGAAAUAAGAUUUAAAAGCCAUAAAAUCACACCAAAUAUGUUACCACCCUAAAAUCGACAUUUAAGAUCUGCUAGCAAAGUCAAAUUUUUCAUCUGAGGUCGUUUUGACCAAAAGUGGGUUCCAUACUCAUAUUGUUAAUAUUUCAACUUUUCGAUCAGUAGAUUGAAAUGAGCUCAGGUGCACUGAGACCCAAACCAAAGGUCUAUCUAGACUAAACUCAAUAUUCUGGAGCUGCUAGUGCAGUCCGUUCAGUCAUUCGUUGCACGAAUCAAAAUAUUUUCAUAUAAAUUCAAAAUAAGGCUCUCGAAGCCAUCAAAAAUCAUAAUACCGCAUAAAUGGUACCAAAUGCAUCAGGAACCAUGCCAAUCAUCCCCACACUCCAGAAAUACCAUAAUGUAACUAUGAGAAGGGAUAAAACGGUUAAAUCACAUAGAAACACACACUUCCUAUAUUUCAUCAAAAAACUGAUCGUUACAUGUCUAUAUUUCAUCAAAAAACUGAUCGUUACAUUUUUAUUUCCUUUUAUUUAUUCAAUUAAGAAAAGUUAGUAAUAUAUACCUCUAUAAACAUUGCCUUUUUUUUUUCUACCAAAAUUGAUUUGUCAUUUUGGAGGUGUGUGAGGGAUUUUUAGAUCAUUUUCUCAGCUCAAGAAAAUUGCCUAUCUUUCUUCUACAUUUUUUUUUUUUUAAAUUCUCAUUAUUCUUUUAAAAUUUUGCUCUUUCUUAUUCAUUUAUUUUAUUUUGUUUAUAUACUAUAGAGGAUAUAAUUAUCAUAAUAUGCUCUUCAAUAGGUACUUUUGUAUUUUUUAUUUUUUUAUAAAAUUUUUACCUCCAUAACUCAUUAACUAUUAAAUUUUCACUCUUAAUAAUAUCAUUAACUUCAUGACUUUUAAGUUUUCAUAUUCAUAACCUCCAAUUAUUUAAUUAUAAAAUUUAAGAUAUCUUUUGAUAUUCCUUCAUUAUCAUCUACAUAAAGUCAUCAUUUUUUGUUUCAUGAUACCCAUAUUCAAGAGUAUCCUUUUUGUUUAUAUUUAAAAUAAUGUUCAUUAUAUUAUCAUUUAUAGUAUCAAAUUCAAGCUUAUGAAGAAGGCUUUUGGAGGUUGAUCAUUUGUCAGAAGAGCUAUCGAACAAGAGCUUAAAAAAUUGUACACUGAUUCAGUAAUUCUUUUUUAGUCUAUUUUUGAUGGUUAACGUCCAAAAAAAAUGUGUGUGUGACUGUGCAUGGGAAUGUUCUCUAUAUGUAAAAUCUAUAAUUUGAAAGUUCAUUAUUUUUUGAUUGUUGUAAAUUUUAUUUUCGUUUAAGCAAUAGCUAUUGUAAUUUUGUUGGUGCUAAUUACAAAACAUACUUCAAACAAUAUUAUUGAUGGCUUGAAAGAAACAAUUAUUAAUUACUGAAAUAAAUUAUUCUUUAUGUGUUUUUUACGAUACGAAAAAUAAUUUUUAUUUUCUUUAACGAUUUGCUUAUUUCUUUUACUUUAAUAGCAAAAAAGAAUUUGAUAGUCUAACUAUAAAUACUUGGGUUAAUCAUAUUUGUUUUAAUAAAUUAUAUUAUAAUACGUUUUUAAGAAUAUCUACAAUAUCUUCACGUAAUUCUUGAUUGCAGUUGAGAUGAUGAAGCAAUUAUAAUCUACCAUUGUCAUGUCAUGAGAUUUACAAUUAUAAUCUACCAUUGUCAUGUCAUGAGAUCUAAAGGCACAACUAAAAAAGAAUAUUAAACAUUUUUACUUAACAAAUAAUACACUACAAAAAAGACGCGUUUUAGCCAUGCGAAAAAUCGUGGCUAAAUAGUACACAAACCGUAGCUAAAUGUAUUUUGCCAUGAUUCCUUUGCCACGGUUGAAAGCGUGUCCAUAACGGGCGUGACAAUGAAAUUAGCCACGGUUUUGGCGUCAUUUGGAUAGCCACGGGUUUUGACAAAUCUAGCCACGGUUCCUUUGUGGGUAAAUUUGACAGGAAUAAAGAAAUAAAAUUUUAAUUUCUAAUUAACCACAUGAGAAACUGUGGCUAAUAUGUUCAAUUCACAUUAAAGAUGGCCAUGGUUCAAACCGUGGCAAAAGUAUACAUUUAAAAAAAAAAAAUCAAUAAUUUCCUAAUAUCAAUAGAGAACUAGUGAGCAUUUACCAACACACUGAACAUUAUACAUAAAUCAUUGCUAUAAUGAUCAUAGUUUCAUUACACAAUAUGCUUAAUCCUUUCCAUAUUAACAUAGCAUGAGUUGAAGUCGACGGAAAUUAGACCAUUGAUGGACAGACAAGUUAGAUCCUGCAUUAAAAGAGAAGGUUAUCCACAAUCUUUCUAAGAAAAUGACACAAAGAUUAGUUACAAAUGCAAGUUAUAGAAGAUGAAUCCAACAAGAGGAAAACUUAAACCAUCAAAAGAUGACAUAAAUCACUCCUCUACUUGGUUGAAAUUGCUUAUCAAAAUCUGAAUAGGAUAAAGUAGAGGAACAACAGAAUGGAGUGUGGAACUGCAUCAAACCUAAUUAAUUUAACUACAAAGGGCAUUAACAAGAAUACAUCUCAAUUAAAGUAUAAAUGAAAUUACCUGAUAUUCCUUGAGGAAGAGAGUGAUUUUAGUUCCUCUGCCUAAUUGCUCUCCAUUAACAUCCCUUGUAACAGUGAAUGAACCACCAACUUGUGAUUCCCAGCUAUAUUGCUUAUCAUUGUUGUGCUUGGUUGUUACGAUAACUUUCUCUGCUACGAGGUAAGCGGAAUAGAAACCCCCACCAAAUUGACCAAUCAUGCUCACAUCAGCCCCAGUUUGUAGAGCUUCCAUAAACUCCUUUAUCCCGGACCUCGCAAUUGUACCCAAAUUGUUAAGCGAAUCUACACAACAAACAACAUGUUUCACAUAUUCAGUCCUCAACAUUUGCUGAUAAUGUUGAGGACGGAAUAUGUGAAACAACAAACAAAAUGUAAAUUGAAAUAGUCAUGAGAAAAUGUUUUUCAAUAAUUCAAUAAAUAUAAUUAAAGGAACUCAAUAAAGGAUCACAUACCUCGACUAAAAAACUGCUUCUUUUUCUAACAAGCUUUCCAAAUAUUUUCUUUCCCUUUCUACAUGAAGAAUACUGGGACUUGAAAAGAAAGUAUUGGUCCAUUUAGUUUUGCAGGGCAGCCACCAGGGAGGCAUGAGUUCACUCACAUGUAACAAACAAGAAGGAAGUUUCGGUUGAAAAGAUAACAGAUUGAAUAAAUAGACAUAUAAAAGGGAAAUAAGAUCACAGAUUGAUUUGACCGACAUAUAUAAGGGAAUUACGUGAAUUCAGAUUUUUAUAUAAACCUCAACAAAAAAGAGACACGUCAACAAUAACUGAUAAGUGUAAUCAAACUGGAUGCAAAAGUUCCCUUGUAAAUAGAAGUUUGACAAUGCAAACCUGAUGUAACUCGUACCAGAUCAAGAUGGACUUCACAUACUGGAGCAGUUUUAAGUAAAUGGCCACUCGAGGGCAUUGAUGGAUGCAGCUUAGCAGUGGGCUUCACCAGUCGUCCUACUCCUACCAGCCUGGUCACUCUUCUUUUUCGACCUUCUCUGAUCUUUUUAACCAUUAACCAAUCCCACAAAUCAACAACCCGAAUAUGUGACAGAGAAUCAUCAACUGGUUGUUCAACUUGACCAUAUUGGGCUAGCCAGUUCUCUUCCUCCGAACAAAUGCCUGUUGUGAGGAAACUUCAGUCAAUCUUAUGCAUCCGAAACCGUAAAAAUGAAGAAAUUCAAACUAAGCGUAUAAUAUUUCAAAAAUUCCAAAAUCCUUGUUCUUUCCUUCCCUUUUCGCUGAGACAUAACUAGUCAGUCAAUCGACCGACCUCUAAAUCCUGAAAAUAGUUAGAGUACUUAGCUAUAUGAAUUCAAUAUCCAUUCAGCUCGUGCUCAUUUCAUUCUAAUAUUGCUAAAUUCGGGUUCUCCAAAACUAGAAUUUAUCUAAACUUUCACAUUAUCCCUAUUUCAUAAGUAAUCAACAAACUAAUUUAUUUUUAAUACAAUUUCUACUUAAUGAUAUCAAGUUACGACAUCUUUUAGGUAAGAAUAACAUUCAGUUGUUGAUUCGCUAGAAACAUGACAAUAAGAAGAAUUAAAGUUACAUGAUUCAUAAAUUUUUGGAACAAAAACAAAUAACGACACAAAUAUAGAUUUCCUUCAAGCUUUUCAAGGUCUCUAAUCAUGCAAUAAUGCUGAUCAGAAUGUAUACAAAUUAUAUAAAUUAUAUAUCAUUUUAGCCAUUACUAUUAGAGAGUCUACAUAAUUCACUCAUCACCGCGACCGUUUGUACAUUAUUCAAACCAAUGGUGAAUCAGAAGUAGGGUUUUCACCUAACUAAACACAUAGCACAGCAAGACAUUGCAACUUAAGUUGCAUCCUAGCAUUCAACUCUAUGCAUUUUCCAUUUCUAGAUCCAAUCCACCCCCUCCCCCAAAAAGAUGCUGACCAAAACCAAGGAUAAGUUGUCAAGGACUGAAUUAUGUGAAACUUACAUCAGAUGGGGUACUGAUCUUAGGAGACCGCCGUUCCACAGAAGGCUUGGAAGUAACAGAUCUUGGAGAUUUCUCAACUGGAAUGCGUGAAUUCUGCAAUGACGAGGUCGAAUCAGCAUCAGAUUUUGAUAGUCUCCUGCUCAAUUUACUCACUCGGUCCCGAGGAGUUGCUGGUAUUGACUUGUUAGGAUUUCCCCCCAGAGUGGAUCUGAUAUACAUGUUCAAAUAAGCAACACUUAGGUAGUUCCCAAACUACAAUAAAAUUGGAGAUGUCAUAAAGUUAGAAAUAAAAAAUAAAGAUUCGUUACCAUUUUAUAGUAAAGGUAGGAUAUAUUGAGGAAGGAAAAGAAAAUUAAAUAAAUACUAUAAUAGAGGAUAAAGACAAAAUUAGAAACAGAAAAUUAUUUAGAUGAUGAUGAAAAGUUUUAUUAAAAAAAGGAUAAAUAUGAACUAUGAAAGGAUAGAAUGUCAAAAAAGAUAUAGAAUUGAAGAGCUAUCCGAAUAAAAGUUUACCGUUUGAUGAAAGCAAGAAGUAAAUUAAAUCCUUAAAUACAUAUGUUUAAAUUGUAUUAAAUUAAAAAAAUUGUGUAUUUGCCUCUUGAUAUAAGAAACUUUUUCUUACUAACUAAUUCUUAUUUUCUUACAAAAUUUAAAAUCGUAAAAUUUAAGGACAAAUAAUAAAUUAGAACAAGAGCUUAUUUUUAAAAAUUAUUUUGUUAAUUUAAUGAGGUAUUUUAUAAUUGUGCGAAGCGCGGUCACUUUCUCUAGUUAAAUACUAAAUUCAAAGUAACUAAGUGUUAUGAGAAAAUUAAAGGAAAGGUGUUAUUUAAGUCUUAAAUGAAGGAUUGGUGACAUUGAUCAACUUAAAGGGUCAAACAUAAUUAGAAAACUUUAUUAAAUUAAUUAUGGAUUUGAUUAAUAAUUUUAAAACUUUCUAAUCUUUUCAAAAAUACAAAACAACCCACACCCCUCCCCUCUCCAAAUCAACUAUCUCUUCUCUCUCUCUUUCUCUUGACAGUUUCUACCAACCAAUAGUUCUGUAAAUUUCUCCUUUCAAUCCCCGACGACUCCAAACUUCGGCGACAAAUGGUUGGUCUUUGAGUUCCUUUUCGACUUUCAACAAUCAAUUGGCGUGACAACCUUGCUCUCCGGCCACAACAACUUCGAGUUCAUCAUCGUCUCUUGUCUUCUUCCACAGGUAAAAAAUUAUGGCCUCUUUUGUUUUGAAGAAAAAGAGGAACUUGAGCCAACUUCUCUUCUAGUAUUGGUGAACAAUUUCAAUAUUUGUUUCUUUAAUUUGGAAUGUUGUCUGAAUAAAAUCCUAAUUUCUUGUAUUUCUUCUCUUCUCUUUUUGGAGUGAAAUAUGAUUUUUUGUUUUUGUUGCAUUUUUUGAAGUUUGAUUUUUAUUGUUUGUGCUUAUGCAAACAAAAUAACGAUGUUGGUGUUUUUGGUGUUGCACCCGUUGCUGGGUUGAUUUGUUCUUGUUCUCGAUAAAAAUGGUGAUAUUGCAGUUGUUCUAUCGAACAAAAUCAUGCUACUAUUUUUUGGCAACAUAUUAACCUUCUGAUGCAAUAGAUUAACCAUUCGAUGCAACAGAUUAACUAUCUGAUGCAACAGAUUUACCGUAUGAUGCAAUAAAGGAACCAUUGGAUAAAAAAUCUGAUGCAACAAAUUAACCAUCGGAUAAAAAGUCUGAUGGAACAAAUUAACCAUAGGAUAAAAAAAUUGAUGCAGCAGAUUAACCAUGAUGCAAUGGAGGAGCCAUCAAAAUAAAAAUCUAAUACAACUAAUUAAUUAUCUGAUGCAACAGAUGAACCUUUUGUUGGAUAAAAUCCUAUCAACUAUUCCAACAGGACAUGUCCAAGACUUGAUUUUGUCCAACUGAUCAUUUAUCUGUCACGAUAUACAACCCUUCUGUUAGAAUAAAUAUAAAUAAUAUUAACCGUUGAUAACUUGUUACAUCCUAGGGUUUGUACCCUUGAAAAUUUCCAAAGUUUGGACCCAUUUUUACUUGGUACGACUCAAGGGAGUUACUCAUACCCAUGGUUAUGAGUCGUAGGGUGCUUAGGUGGUCAAAUUGUACCUAAGGCAGUAAGGAUGGCUUAGCUACUGCCCAAGGUACGACUCAUAUGGGUAAGAGUCAUAUGGAAGCUUAUGAAUGGUAUAUGACAAGUUGUACUGUGCAUGUUUAAGUUGUCUAGUGUAAUCUGUCCACCAUACGGUUGGUGGAUGCGAUUGAAGUUACCACUCAUACCCUUACAUAUGCGUUAGGGAGGUUAAUUCAUAUAGAAACCACUAGGUAAGGUCUUGUCGAGGUUGUAUACGAGUUAGGGUACGAGUUAGGGUAUCACUUGUACCCUUGGAUACAAAUAGUUAGGUGAGUCAUACCCCUGGAUGAGAAUUGUUUUAAUUUUUAAGUCAAGGGUAGUUUGGACAUUUCCUACUCCUAAACCCUUAUGUCCUCACGUUAUAUAACCCUCUACGGCCUUCCAUAACACUUAUAAAAGGAUCAUAAUAUAUUAAAUACUCUUUCAAACUCAUUAUUGGAAGAUUGGAGGCUAGGGUUUCUCAUGUGUUCUUCAAAGUGGCUCAAGAGUCAUGUUUCUCUUUGGAAUCUUCUUGUAUAAGGCAUGUAAUCUUUCCCUCAUUGUUAUUUCAAAAUAAAGGCAUGUGUAUUGUGUUAUAAACAUUGGUUUAUGAAUCUAUAAUUGUGGAUUUCAAAAUAUUGUUGAGGGUUUUGAAACAUAUGGUUUGGUAAUAGUUUAAGCUAUGUUUUUACAUAUUUUUGGUAAUAGUUUGCAUAUGUGGUUGGUUGUUGGUUAUCGUAUAACUAAUGGAUCUUGAUUAACCCUAAUUAUGGUGAUUUACACAUUGGUUUUGGUCUUGGUAAAGGUAUGCGCUCAACAUGUUUGAUAAAAUAUCUCAAAGAACGUUUUCACUCUAUUGUUGAACCUUAAUUGGAACUCUUGCAUGGUUUGAUUUUGUAACGAAACUCUAAAUGGUUUUGGAUGGUUUUGCAUGGUAUAAUGGUUUAAAUGAUAUAAAUGCUUUAAAUGUUUGGCAUGGUCUUAAAUGGUUUGGAAUGGUUUAAAAAGGUAAAGGUUUUGGUGGUCAUGGUUAGUCUAUUUUGAAAACCUUGUGGGAUACAUGGAAGUCCCCCAAGUGAAUGCAUUAAUGGAAUUGGUUUGAAUAAUUGGUCAUGGAUUAAUUGGUUAUGCUUGUGGAGAAAAUGGAUGUCUCCCAAGAGGUUAAUAUGGUAAAUAGAAAGGGCAUUUGAGAGUCUCCUUAACCUAAAUGUUUUGGCUUUGGAUAAAUCUUGCAAGUAUGGUUGACAUGACGAUACCACUAAUAAUCGACCUUGGUUAAUAAAUGGUAAUAGGAUUGUUUGGACAUGGUUUUUAAUUUACGCAUUAAUGGCGAGAUGUGUAACUAAGUCGUGGAAGGUGGAGAUUUUGGGGAAAAAAAAACUAGAAACUCAUAUUUGCCGAUAUGAGGGGUCUUCUAUGGCUACGUGCGAGUGUCAUAUUUUAUAUGAGAGGGAUGUACUAGUCAUUCCAUGUGAUAUUUCCUGGUCACACGGCUACACGCAUGGGACUCUUUCAAUAAGGAGAGCUGAACCCAUAUGACCCAUGGGCGUAGUUAAGCGGCAAGGUUACACAACCCAGGUAAAAGAUUUUAAAUGCAUGCUAAACACAGAUUCCCUUUUCUGACACUUAUAUAUAUGUAUGGCUGUGUCCAUUAUGGAUGGUUUUACUUGAUUUUGUAAAUGACAUUAUUUUAUCCCUAUCCUGAGUGCAUGCUAGUGUUCACCCACUACCCCUUCUAUUGGCGGCUAUAUACCCACGCUAUGUAGAAAUCGACCAUUCUACUCCUCUUUCUUAGUGAUCGAAUUUGGGUACAGUCGAUGUUGGAUUUAAGUGGCGAGCUUCCAUAGUUCGGAAGGCAUCUAUUUUAUGUCAUGGUUUACUUUACACAUUUCUUGUACUUCAUAAGCUUCGGUAUUUGGCUAUGGUCGAGGUAUGUCCCAACUAAGUAUUCUUUGAUUGGUCUAGAGGCUUUGUAUGGACAACUAUUGACUUGGGUAUGGUAUGGACUAUUUUUGUUAUAAACAUAUACAUUGGCUUAUUAUCAUGGUAUUAAUUUAUGGCUUCCGCAUUGGUUUGGUUGGUUAUUGGGUGGACAAACUUGGUUGGGUUGGUCUUGAUUAUAGACUUAUACCAGAUUCACCACAUGGAUAAAUAUGCUAUAUUGUUAUUUGUUCGGAAUUCAAUCUAUUAAAGGUAUGCAUUUGGUGGGUGGGUUGGGUAAUAGAGGGAGUUCCCAGCCCUUGUUGGUGACACGGGCAUGAUCAUGAAGACGGAUGUUUUUUUAGUGUUAUGAAUGCAACCUAUGGAGUGUACGAGUUGAAGUGUGAAAAGGGCUCCAAAACCUCCCUUAUAGUGCACUCCAUAGGCGCCAUUUUAUCCAUUUAACACUAAGGGGCACUUUUGUCAUUUUAUCUAUUAUUUGUAUUAGCCUAUAUAAGGAAAAUAUUAGGGUUUUAGAUCAUUAGUUAUUGAAUGUUGAUGUAAGAACACAAAGAACAUCUCUCUUGAGAGAGAGAGCCUCCCUAGGCCGAAACUAGGACAUAAGCAAGUGUGGAAUCACUUGUGAAUGUGUAUUUCUUUGAAACGUUGGUUCUUGAGAGGUGAAUUUUGAUAUUGUGUCUUCGUAAGGGUAUGGUGUUGCUAUUGUAAGUCCUAGGGGUCCUUAGAUUUAAUAUAUCUUUGGGUUCCUAAUCUUGUAAUAGUGUAUGUCUCACUUUCUAUCUUUACGUUUCAUGUCUUAGUUUGUAUUGUCUAGUGAACCCGCUGGUUUUUGUUAUGUCUUGUAAUCUUGUAAUGUUGUAUUGUUGUUAUCCUAGUGUUGUUCUUCUUAUUAUAAUGUUGUUUAUCCCUCAUUGUUGUUAGUCAUUUACACCUUAUUUCUUCUUGUUGUUGGAGCUGAGAAUUGUUUUUGUGUUGCUCUCGAGUUUUCCUUUGUUUGUGGACUGUUUUUGACUUAUUUUUUUAUAUGAUCCAAGUUUGUAUCGUAUCAGUUGGGCUUGGGAUUACCCAUUAAGUCUAGGCUCUAGUUCAAGCUAUGAAAAAUUGGUAUAAGAGCAUUAGGUUUCAGUGUCAUAGGGUGUCCACAAAGCAAUGUCAAUUAGAUUCUUGCUUAUGGGUGUGUCGUGCACCACACUUAUAAUUAGGAGGCUACGAGACAUUUAAGAAUGUUUCACUUUCCUAGUUAUUCUACUUUCAGGCUAUGGAGUCUAAGGUCUUGAACUCUUCUCUAAAUCUUCCUUGGUUCACUCUUAGGACUGUGUCUUCUAAAAGAUCCAAAGGUUUUUGGAAACUCACCUAUCCCACUCAAUGACAAAAAGGAUGGAUUUAGUCUAACUCAUGCGGCAUAGACCUGGUCAAGGGCAGCUUCUAAAAGAUCAUGGAGCUUGCAUGUAUAUUUGUCCCUAUACUUGUACUUCAUUGCUGGCAUGAAAUUGAUUUCUAAAUUCAUGGUUUUGAAAAAGGGUUUAUACAUAAUUGAGGAUUUUAACAUGAUUACUUAUUUAUCUUGUUUUUCAUGGAUUAUGAUGCCUUAUUUAUGUGUUAUUAGUGUUUAUAAACAUCAUGGGGUGCAUGGGAAUGGUAAAUGAAUUUCGGGGUACUAUGGAUUCCCUAAAUUACUUGGUUUUAGCUUUGGAAACUAAAUGUCCUCAAAUUAAUUAUGAAAUUGCCAUUUUAUAUAAUUUUGUCAUAUGGUUUGACUAUUCUUAAAUCUUUGUGUUGCAUAAAUGGUUAAGGGAACAUGAAUUGGUUUUGAUUGGAUUCAAAUGAAUUUAAAAAGGCCUUGGUAGCUGUGGUUUAAUUUUGAAUGGUUUUGUUUUAAUUGGAAAACUUGGAAUCAAUUUGGUCUAAUGGUUUUAACAUAUCUUUGCUAGGCUCUAGGUAGCCUUUGGGAGUAUAAGAUUUAGGUAUGGGAAAAAUAAGUGUCACUAGUGUACAUCCUUGGUGAUACCCAUAAAGGUGGAGUGUUGUGCUUGUUGGUGUAAUGGGAUGAAGGUUGGAGGUUAGUCUUGAACUUUCUCCAAGCAGUUGACUUUAAGAGAAGGCCGGGUUGCAUAUUCUAGUGAUUCUCUUCUAUCUUGAUUAAAAAGAGCACCGUAUAGUAUUGCAUGUAUUGUCAUAGAAAUUGUGCUUAAGGGUUACAGUUUGUUUUUGCCUUGUUCCCCGUAUAUGAGUCUUGACUCUACAUUGCAUUACUCAUGGUAUAGGUGGUUGAGUUUCCUUCAGUGUCAAUUUCAAAGGACUUUUUUUUAGUGGAAUGGUUUGGUCAGGAUGGCUCUUCAUUAGGGUCUAAGUGGUUGCUAUGAAGAACUUCAUGCCUUUUGUGUCGUGUCUUAUUUUGGGAAGUCCUUGUCUUGACUUAGGCUACAUGGAUAAUUCUUAUACCUUAGUUCCUUAAUGAAGAUUCUUAUGAUUAGGAUGGUAGUGGUUUGGAAGGCAUAAUGGUGUUUCAUAAUGGGGAAUGUAGAAGUCCCUAAGUGGAGGAGAGUCUUGGGUAACUACUAGAGUUAAGGUUUUAGAAGAAGAGGUAAAGUUGUUGUCAUGAUAAAUUGUUAGGAAAGGAAUAGGUGGUGAAAAUCCAUUGUUAAAUAUUAAUUGGUGUUAUAUCUUUUGAUGGAUAGGUCAUACCGCGGGUAUGUAAGCGAUAGGCUUGAAUGUUGUGAUUGGUAGGUAUACCCAUAGUUGUGUUGGGUGCUCGAGAGGCUUGGUAAGGCAUGGAUUUGAUGAAUGGUCUUCCUUGCAUAGUGGUUUCAUAGCUUUCAUAGGUUGGGGAUUUUGGUUACAAUGGUUAGAUAUAGUUUGUCGUUUACUCAUAGUUUUUGUAUUAUAAAGGAGAUGGAAGUAGAGUAGUGUUUCGAGAUACGUGUAAGGGGUAGAGGACGGUGGCUUAAGUCAACUUAUUUUAGCUUUGGAUAUGCUUGAACAUGGAAUUGGUGGUGUAUAGUUAGACUCAAGCUCUUAUAGUGAGGUAUCUCGGUAAAAUUCUAAGUCAGAGUCUAUUUGCUCUUGAGCACAAAUUCCAUUCAUUUGGUAUUUUAUGUGUUUGUGUUGGGGUAAGGGGUGGUUGGUUCCUUGGGUGGUAUAUCUCGAAUUCCUUGUUCUUUCAAGAGGAUCUUGGAUUGGUAAGUUUGUCGGAUGCAAACAAUAGGUAUGGCUUAGGUAGAGGUUCCAAGGUGGAACUAAAAGUCCGAUAAAGCCAAUUGGGAUGCGGAAGUGGACAUGGAGUCCAAGGAUCUGCGCUGGUUUUUUUGUUCCAGAAAUUCGUGUGUAAGGUGUGUGUUCUUCUAACACAUCUUUGUUUUCUAACUUAGUUAAAGGUGAGGAAUGGUUCCUCUUGUAUCUUUGUUUUCUAACUUAGUUAGAGGUCGAAAUGAAAGUAUUGAGGUAUAAAUCGUGCUUGGGGUAUGUGGUAAUCUUCUCGGCUUGGUCUGUCUCCUUGUCCUCAAUUUUGGAUGGAGGAAGGUUGAUGUGUAUUAAGGUGUUAUCUCAUUCUUGUUCUUACAUUUACCCGUUAUUCGAGGACGGAUGUUCCUAGUGGGGGAGAAUGUUACAUCCUAGGAUUUGGACCCUUGAAAAUUUCCAAAGUUUGGACCCUUUUUUACUUGGUACGACUCAAGGGAGUCUCUCGUACCCUUGGUUACGAGUCGUAGGGUGCCUAGGUGGUCCAAUCGUACCCUAGGCAGUAAGGAUGGCUUAGCUACUACCCAAGGUAUGACUCAUAUGGGUAAGAGUCGUAUGGGAGCUUACACGUGGUUUAGGGCAAGUUGUAUGGUGCAUGUUUGAGUUGUCUAGUGUAAUCUGUCUACCAUACGGUUGGUGGAUACGAUUGAGGUUACAACAUGUACCCUUAGGUACGAUUGAGGGAGGUUGUCAUAUAGAAACCAUUAGGUAAGGUCUUGGAAAGAUUGGAUAUGAGUUGGGGUGUCACUUGUACCCUUUGAUACAAAUGGUAAGGUGAGUCGUACCCUGAACGAGAAUUGUUUUAAUUCUUAAGUAAAGGGUCGUUUGGACAUUUCCUACUUCUAAACCCUUAUGUACUCACGUUAUAAAACCCUAUAUGGCCUUCCAUAACACGUAUAAAAGGAUCAUUACAUAUCAAAUACUUUUUUAAACUUACUCUUGGAAUAUUGGAGGCUGGGGUUUCUCAUGUGUUCUUCAAUGGGGCUCAAGAGUCAUGUUUCUCUUCGGAAUCUUCUUGUUUAAGUCUUGUUCUCCUUUCCUCAUUCUUAUUUCAAAAUAAAGUCAUGUGUAUUGUGUUUUAAACAUUGGUUUAUGAAUCUAUAAUUGUGGAUUUCAAAAUAUUGUUGAGGGUUUUGAUGCAUAUGGUUUUGUAUUGGUUUAAACUAUGUUUUUACAUGUUUUUGGUAAUAGUAUGCAUAUGUGGUUGGUUGUUGGUUAUGGUAUAACUAACAGGUUUUGAGUAACCCUAAUUAUGGUGAUUUACUCAUUGGUUUUGGUCUCGGUAAAGGUAUGCCCUCAACAUGUUUGAUAAAAUGCCUUAAAGAACAUUUUCACUCUACUGUUGAACUUUCAAUGGAACUUCUAUAUAGUUUCAUUUUGUAACGGAACUCUAAAUGGUUUUGGAUGGUUUAAAUGAUAUAAAUACUUUAAAUGUUUUGCAUGGUCUUAAACGGUUUGGAAUGGUUUAAAAAGGUAAAGGUUUUGGUGGUCAUGGUUGGUCUAUUUUUAAAACCUUGCACGAUACAUGGAAGUCCACCAAGUGAAUGCCUUAAUGGAGUUGGUUUGAAUAAUUGGUCAUGGCUCAAUUGGUUAUGAUUGUGGAGAACAUGGAAGUCUCCUAGGAGGUUAAUAUGGUAAACCGAAAGGGCACUUGAGAGUCCUGUUAACCUAAAUGGUUUGGCUAUGGAUAACUCUUGCAAGUAUAGUUGGUAUGACGAUACCACUAAAAAUUGAUCUUGGUUAAUAAAUGGUAAUUGAAUUGUUUGGACAUGGAUUUUAAUUUGGGUAUUAAUGGCGAGAUGUGUAACUCAGCCGUGGAAGGUGGAGGUUCGGGGGAAACAAAACUAGAAACUCAUAUUUGCCGAUAUGAGAGGUCUUUGAUGGCCAUGUGUGGGUGUCACAUUUUUAUUGGAGGGAUGUACUAGUCAUCCCAUUGGAUAUUUCUUGGUCGUUCGGUUACACGCACUGGGACUCUUUCAGCAGGGAGAGUUGAACCCAUACAACCCAUGGGUGUGGUUAAACGGCAAGGUUACACAGCCUAGGUAAAAGGUUUUAAAUGCAUGCUAAACACGAAUUCCCUUUCCCGACACUUAUAUAUAUGUAUGGUGUUGUGCAUUAUGGAUGGUUUUACUUGAUUAUUUAAAUGACAUUAUUUUAUUCCUAUCCCGAGUGCAUGCUAGUGUUCACCCACUAACCCAUCUACUGGCAGUUGUAUACUCAUGCUAUGUAGGAACCAACCAUUCUACUCCUCUUGCUUAGUGGUCGGAUUCGGGUCUAGUCAAUGUUGGAUUGAAGUGGUAAGCUUCCAUAGUUUGGAAGCCAUCUAUUUCAUGUCAUGGUUUACUUUACAUAUUUCUUAUCCUUCAUAAACUUCGGUCUUUGGCUAUGGUCGGGGGCAUGUCCUGACUAGGUACUCUUUGGUUGGUCUAGAGGCUUUGUAUGGACAACUGUGGACUUAGGUAUGGUUUGGACUAUUUUUGUUAUAAAUAUAUACAUUGGCUUAUUAUCAUGGUAUUAGUUUAUUGCUUUCGUAUUGGUUUGGUUGGUUAUUGGGUGGACAGACUUGGUUGGGUUGGUCUCGGUUGUAGACUUAUCCUAGAGUCACCACAUGGAUAAAUGAGCUAUCUUUUUAUCUAUUUGGAUUUCAACCGACUAAAGGUAUGUGUUCGAUGGUUGGGUUGGGUAACGGGGGCGGUUCCCGGGGUCCUUGUUGGGCUUGGGAUUGCCUAUUACGUCUAGGACCUAAUUUCGGCUGUGAUACACACAUGUUGCAAUAGAUGUGUGAUCUGUUGCAUAGACCAGACAUCUGUUUCAAUAGAUGAGUGAUCUGUUUUUUUGUUGCAACAAAUUUCUCAUUCAUUGUAACAGGUUAGUUAUAUGUUGGCAUAAAUACCUCAUAUGUUGCAAUAGGUUUGUGGUCUAUUGCAUAGACCAUUCAUUUGUUUCAAUAGAUGAGUGAUCUAUUUUUAUUGUUGCAACAGAAUACUCAUCCGUUGCAACAGUUUAGUUAAAUGUUGCAACAGAUAACCUACCCGGUGUAACAGAUAUGUGAUCUGUUGGAACUGUUAUUUUACUAUUGUACAUGUUAGCUAUACUUUUAUCCCCUUUUAAGGAUGCAUUAAUUAAUUAUAAUCUAUUUUAUGUUCCUGUUAAUUUUAAAUAAUAUGGCUCCCAAAAGAAAAUAAACCAAAUCAAAUCCAAGUAAAGGAACAAGUGAAGCAGCUAGGCUACAUCCAUCACUCUAUGAGCUUGCUUUACAAGCAUUAUCUCAAUCAGAAGCAGAAGAUGAUGAACAUAGGGAGGAGGAAUUUUUCAAAAGAGAUGAUCCAAAUGCUAAUAGCCCUUCUAUCGAAGAGUUGGUCAAAACCUGUAUCAUUGGUAGUUAUCCUGUGAGAAUACAAUGCAUGGGUUAUUACAUUGUUAAUUCAUCCAUGGGAAAAUAUUUUGACGCCUUUAGAAAAAUACUUCGAAAACAAAAUUUAGAUGCUUAUUUCAGGGUCAACUGCUUUCGGCAAUAUCUUGAUUUGAUGGAGGAAAACAAUGCUCGUUUCCAAAUGAAAAUGGUAUAUGAUCUUCUCAAGCAUAGGUUUAUGUAUGAAAACAAACAUAAAAUGGAUGAGGUGUGGAUAAAUUAUUGUGGCAUGUCUAUUUGUUUUAGUUGGAAGGAGUUUUUCAUAGUUAAUGGACUAAAAUGUUAUCCUGCUUCUCCUUCUCAAGUUAUACCUAUUCUAACCCAAAAUAAGCACCCCGCACACCCCAAAAAAGAAAAUGCAGUUCAAGUGAUCAUGGAGACUUGAUGUCCCUUGUUGGUCCAAGCUUCAAAAAUAAAAAUUUGAUAGAAGCGUUGAAAGGUAAAAUACUUUCAAAGAAGCACAAACAAUCAUUGUGCUUGGUUUGUUUUGUACAUAAUAUUAUUUGGGAAAAGACGUUAACAACAAUAUACCACUUGGUUUAAUACAACUCUCCGAGGAUCUUGAGGCAUUUAACAACUAUCCUUGUGGUUUUGAACGCUUCAAAAUGACUGUCAAAUAUUUGUUGACUCUGUUAGCACCAAAGACAAUCAACUUAUAUGGCUUUCCAUGGGAUUUAAUGGUAAAUAUUUCUUUUAUUAUGAUAUGAUUCAUUUUCUUAUUCAAUAAAGUUUUUGAUUUAUUGGCGUUAUUUUUAUAGACUUGGGCAUUUGAAGCCAUUCCUUAUUUGAGACAAUAAAUAAACUACCUGGAAAAAGUUUCGUCCAAGAAUCUUGAGAUGGUUGUCGGUCAAAAGUGAUAGAAAUGCAAAAUUUCUUGAUAUCUAACCCCCCCGAAGGAUGUAGUAAGUCUAAUUCUAAUUAAGUUUUUGUUUUAAUUAAUGAUUUUUUAAAUAAUCUAAUCAUCAUUCUAAUAUAUGUACUAAUUUAUGUUAGAUUGUGCAUCCGUUGCUUGGUCCG